GCGUUAUCCGGAAUUAUUGGGCGUAAAGAGCUCGUAGGCGGUUUGUCGCGUCUGUCGUGAAAGUCCGGGGCUUAACCCCGGAUCUGCGGUGGGUACGGGCARACUAGAGUGCAGUAGGGGAGACUGGAAUACCUGGUGUAGCGGUGGAAUGCGCAGAUAUCAGGAGGAACACCGAUGGCGAAGGCAGGUCUCUGGGCUGUACUGACGCUGAGGAGCGAAAGCAUGGGGAGCGAACAGGAUUAGAUACCCUGGUAGUCCAUGCCGUAAACGUUGGGCACUAGGUGUGGGGACCAUUCCACGGUUUCCGCGCCGCACGUAACGCAUUAAGUGCCCCGCCUGGGGAGUACGGCCGCAAGGCUAAACUCAAAGGAAUUGACGGNGGCCCGCACAAGCGGCGG
RNAcentral lists this ribosomal RNA (398 nucleotides) under Micrococcus sp. BDP-96-2_6-9. Its description in RNAcentral is "bacterial SSU rRNA". It matches the Rfam family "Bacterial small subunit ribosomal RNA", at positions 538 to 935 of the family's 1533-position model. Lineage: Bacteria; Bacillati; Actinomycetota; Actinomycetes; Micrococcales; Micrococcaceae. The record is from RNAcentral.